RNAcentral lists this unclassified non-coding RNA (200 nucleotides) under Tremellomycetes sp. RNAcentral's name for it is "partial internal transcribed spacer 2". The record is from RNAcentral. Lineage: Eukaryota; Fungi; Basidiomycota; Tremellomycetes.
UUAAGUUCAGCGGGUAGUCCUACCUGAUUUGAGGUCUAGUCAUGAAAAUGCAGGCCAAAGCCUUGCGAGUUGGAAGCGGACGACACUUACACCAGAUGAAACUUAUUACACCUAGCUUGGGCUGACCCACUAACACAUUCAAGGCGAGCCAAAUGGCAACACCCAAAUCCACAUUCAAAGAAAACUCUUUGAAGUGAUGA